AGUGAACGCUGGCGGUAGGCCUAACACAUGCAAGUCGAACGGUAGCACAGGAGAGCUUGCUCUCUGGGUGGCGAGUGGCGGACGGGUGAGGAAUACAUCGGAAUCUACCUUUUCGUGGGGGAUAACGUAGGGAAACUUACGCUAAUACCGCAUACGACCUACGGGUGAAAGUGGGGGACCGCAAGGCCUCACGCGAUUAG
This 200-nucleotide ribosomal RNA is filed under the name uncultured bacterium. Its description in RNAcentral is "partial 16S ribosomal RNA". It matches the Rfam family "Bacterial small subunit ribosomal RNA", at positions 29 to 224 of the family's 1533-position model. The record is from RNAcentral.